This 252-nucleotide ribosomal RNA is filed under the name uncultured Bacteroidales bacterium. Its description in RNAcentral is "partial 16S ribosomal RNA". It matches the Rfam family "Bacterial small subunit ribosomal RNA", at positions 524 to 776 of the family's 1533-position model. The record is from RNAcentral. Lineage: Bacteria; Pseudomonadati; Bacteroidota; Bacteroidia; Bacteroidales.
UACGGAGGAUGCGAGCGUUAUCCGGAUUUAUUGGGUUUAAAGGGUGCGUAGGCGGACUGUUAAGUCAGCGGUAAAAAUUCGGGGCUCAACCCCGUCGUGCCGUUGAAACUGAUGUUCUUGAGUGGGCGAGAAGUAUGCGGAAUGCGCAGUGUAGCGGUGAAAUGCUUAGAUAUUGCGCAGAACUCCGAUUGCGAAGGCAGCAUACCGGCGCCCGACUGACGCUGAAGCACGAAAGCGUGGGUAUCGAACAGG